UUCCUGGCAGUCUAGUGGUUAAGACUCCAUGCUCUCAAUGCUGAGGUUCCAGUUUCAAUUCCUGGUCGGGAAA
Molecule: transfer RNA, 73 nt
Filed under: Ovis aries (sheep)
Lineage: Eukaryota; Metazoa; Chordata; Mammalia; Artiodactyla; Bovidae
Rfam family: tRNA
About the family: Transfer RNA (tRNA) molecules are approximately 80 nucleotides in length.
Source: Rfam by way of RNAcentral